RNAcentral lists this small nucleolar RNA (88 nucleotides) under Leishmania donovani. Its description in RNAcentral is "H/ACA box snoRNA LD26Cs1H-9". It matches the Rfam family "Trypanosomatid snoRNA TB9Cs1H2". Lineage: Eukaryota; Euglenozoa; Kinetoplastea; Trypanosomatida; Trypanosomatidae. The record is from RNAcentral.
CGAACGGGGCAAUCCGAGGUGCACGUGGCUUGCGCCCGCUCGCGGGACUCUGUGCCGUGGUGCGACCUUCUGGUAGCGCCGGAGAGCC